AUCCCAUGUGCUUCCAGACUCUGACUCUUAUCUGCGUUUUAUUGAACAAAUGAAUUUGGCUACUAAAGACUGAUCCUGGACUGACAUCUUAGAUAUUCCUUCACCAAGAAUGGAUAACAGGGCAGGAACCAAAAAUUUCCUGGUGCCUCACUCCAAGAUGCAAUAUCAGCUCUUGUCCUAAAGAUAGGAUUCUGCCUUAAAUUGAGAACCCGGGAAACGCGUGUCUGCAUAAUGAGCAGCCGGCUUCUUGGGUCAGAUAGAAGAGUGUCUGGUGGGUGACAGAGAACUCGAUGCUGCUCCGUGCCCUAAACGCUGGUAUUUGUGUUCUUGCAAAGCAGCCUGGGACUGUUCAUCGUGCCAGGAAUUAAGGAGAAGGACUAGAAGACUAGAAUGCGGAAUCACGAUUCCCUAUUGUGUGCUGUUGCAUCAUUUCUAAUCAGCACGCCACAGCGCCGAUGUUACCACCGCUCUGUCUACAGGUGCCUCUGUCUGGUACGCCAGCCUC
Molecule: long non-coding RNA, 505 nt
Filed under: Mus pahari (shrew mouse)
Lineage: Eukaryota; Metazoa; Chordata; Mammalia; Rodentia; Muridae
Description: lncRNA (MGP_PahariEiJ_G0005346.1)
Source: RNAcentral